Molecule: ribosomal RNA, 427 nt
Filed under: uncultured bacterium
Lineage: Bacteria
Description: partial 16S ribosomal RNA
Rfam family: Bacterial small subunit ribosomal RNA
Source: RNAcentral
GUGAGGAAUCUUCCACAAUGGGCGAAAGCCUGAUGGAGCAACGCCGCGUGAAGGAUGAAGGUCUUCGGAUUGUAAACUUCUUUUAUGAGUGAAGAAUAUGACGGUAACUCAUGAAUAAGCACCGGCUAACUACGUGCCAGCAGCCGCGGUCAUACGUAGGGUGCAAGCAUUAUCCGGAGUGACUGGGCGUAAAGAGUUGCGUAGGCGGUUAUGUAAGCGAAUAGUGAAACCUGGUGGCUCAACCACACAGACUAUUAUUCGAACUGCAUAACUCGAGAAUGGUAGAGGUAACUGGAAUUUCUUGUGUAGGAGUGAAAUCCGUAGAUAUAAGAAGGAACACCUAUGGCGUAGGCAGGUUACUGGGCCAUUUCUGACGCUAAGGCACGAAAGCGUGGGGAGCGAACCGGAUUAGAUACCCUUGUAGUCC